Non-coding RNA from Microcebus murinus (gray mouse lemur), 372 nucleotides. The record is from RefSeq and is a predicted model, not a curated record. Lineage: Eukaryota; Metazoa; Chordata; Mammalia; Primates; Cheirogaleidae.
CAUUUGGGGGUGGGACUUAAAAGCCACUGAGCAAGCACAGCAUUGUUUUCUUGAGAAGCUGUGCCACGUACAACCAGGAAAGGGCUUGGAGGUGUUCCACCCCAAUCCAGUAGAGGUUUCAUGGUACAGCAUCUUAGCUUGGAAGAAGAGGAGAGGGCAACUAGACAUCUCUUGAGGAUCAAGAACAAGGAUCUGGCACCUAGUGGAUUCCUGGUAGGCAUUCAAUAAUGUUUACUGAAGGAAGAAAUUGAAACUCCAGAAGAAGGAGGCAGAGAAACUGGUUAAAUUACUCCUGUCCCAACUGGAAAGCUUCUUAUCUGUCAUAACCUUGUAAAGAUUUCUUUUAUAUUAAAAUAAAGGCAGCUUAAGUAA